This 396-nucleotide ribosomal RNA is filed under the name uncultured bacterium. RNAcentral describes it as "bacterial SSU rRNA". It matches the Rfam family "Bacterial small subunit ribosomal RNA", at positions 975 to 1375 of the family's 1533-position model. The record is from RNAcentral.
CUACCCUUGACAUGUCUAGAAGUUACCAGAGAUGGUUUCGUGCUCGAAAGAGAGCUAGAACACAGGUGCUGCAUGGCCGUCGUCAGCUCGUGUCGUGAGAUGUUGGGUUAAGUCCCGCAACGAGCGCAACCCUUAUCAUUAGUUGCUACGCAAGGGCACUCUAAUGAGACUGCCGGUGACAAACCGGAGGAAGGUGGGGAUGACGUCAGGUCAUCAUGGCCCUUAUGGGUAGGGCUACACACGUCAUACAAUGGCCGGUACAGAGGGCUGCCAACCCGCGAGGGGGAGCUAAUCUCAGAAAACCGGUCGUAGUCCGGAUCGCAGUCUGCAACUCGACUGCGUGAAGUCGGAAUCGCUAGUAAUCGCGGAUCAGCUUGCCGCGGUGAAUACGUUCCC